GUCUUAUUGAUGAUAAUUUUAAGUCUGGUCUGCCCAGUGAUUUAUUAAAUGGCUGCAGUAUUUUAACUGUACAAAGGUAGCAUAAUAAUUAGUUUCUUAAUUAGGAACUGGAAUGAAAGAUUGAACGAGACAAUAACUGUCUUAAUAUAAAUUUAAGAAUUUUAUUUUUAAGUUAAAAAGCUUAAAUUUUUUUAAAAGACGAGAAGACCCUAUAGAAUUUUAUAUUAUUUUUAUAUUUAAAUUAUAGUAUAUAAAUUUUAAAUUUUUAUUAAGAUUAUUUAGUUGGGGUGAUUAAAAAAUUUAUUUAACUUUUUUUAUUUAUGACAUUAAUUUAUGUAUGAUUGAUCCAAUAUUUUUGAUUAUAAGAUUAAAUUACCUUAGGGAUAACAGCGUAAUUUUUUUAGAGAGUUCUUAUCGAUAAAAGAGAUUGCGACCUCGAUGUUGGAUUAAAGUUAAUUUUUAAUGCAGAAGUUAGAAUAUUAGGUCUGUUCGACCUUUGAAACUUU
RNAcentral lists this ribosomal RNA (506 nucleotides) under Cantabrogeus antimachus. RNAcentral's name for it is "partial 16S ribosomal RNA". The stretch from base 383 to 506 matches the Rfam family "Bacterial large subunit ribosomal RNA", at positions 2473 to 2597 of the family's 2925-position model. The record is from RNAcentral. Lineage: Eukaryota; Metazoa; Arthropoda; Insecta; Coleoptera; Leiodidae.